This 451-nucleotide ribosomal RNA is filed under the name uncultured bacterium. Its description in RNAcentral is "partial 16S ribosomal RNA". It matches the Rfam family "Bacterial small subunit ribosomal RNA", at positions 29 to 523 of the family's 1533-position model. The record is from RNAcentral.
AGCGAACGCUGGCGGCAGGCUUAACACAUGCAAGUCGAGCGGGCGUAGCAAUACGUCAGCGGCAGACCGGUGAGUAACGCGUGGGAACGUACCUUUUGGUUCGGAACAACACAGGGAAACUUGUUCUAAUACCGGAUAAGCCCUUACGGGGAAAGGUUUAUCGCCGAAAGAUCGGCCCGCGUCUGAUGAGCCAGUUGGUAGGGUAAUGGCCUACCCAGGCGACGAUCAGUAGCUGGUCUGAGAGGAUGAGCAGCCUGCUUGGAGAUGGGACACGGACCAGACUCCUACGGGGGGCAGCAGGGAGGAGUAAGGGACAAUGCGGGUAACUCUGCUCCAGCCCGGCCACGUGAGUGAUGAUGGACCUGGAGUUGUAAAGCUCUUUUGUGCGCGCAGCUUAUGUCUGUUAAGCAAGAAUACAGCGCGGAUAACUUCGUGCCAGCCGCCUCAGUAA